AGGCAGGGACAAUCAGACAGGGCCAAGGGCCCGGCAAGAGACAGAGGCGGAAGGGGAGGGCAUCGUCAGUUCUUGUGCAUCCACUUCGCCUGCAGCCGCUGUGGAAAGGACGCCUCCACAGGCAGCGGCGUGUGCAACAGCAAGAAGAAAAUAGAGAACCAGACUUUACGAAAAAAGGAAUAGAGAAGACACCAAGAAAAGUGUAAACAUAGAUAUGAUGAUUGCAGUGGAAACGAAUGAUGUGCUGAUAAGAGUAUUAAGUAAUAAGAUAUAACAUUUAAAGAAAUAUAAACCAACGGACCGAAAGGAGAACAUAGUGAAAAUAUAUGUAUAUAUAUUUUUAAGUGAUCGUGUAGUGAAAAUAAAAACAAAGAAAAGGGUGAAAACAACGAAAAAAAACACACAAAAAAAUUCCCAUAUGCAACACACAGAGAGAAACGACAUUAAACGAAAAAGAAUUAAGUGAAAAGAAGAAUAAGACUAAAUAGAGGGAGAAGAAGAAGACUAAGAAGGAGGAGAAGAUAACCAAGCACAAGCAGAAGACCUAGAAGAAGAAAAGGAAAAGGAAAAGUCGAAGAAGAAGAGGAAGAAGAAGAAUACGAGCAAGAAGGAAAAGAAGAGGGAGGAGGAGGAGGAGGACCCCUGAGGAACCCCUGAGGAUUCCCUGAGCACCACCUGAGGGCGCCCUGACGACCCUCGAGGCCCCCUUGCACGUGGACAGCGCCGCCGUGUCUUCGUGGACGCCUCCGCCGCUGCCGCCGUCGCACCCCCCUCGCCCCACCUCCUUCAGGAUGUCGACGCCGGGCGAGCGCCUCCUGUCGCAGAUCCACGCCAUGCAGGUGCAAGUGACCCAGCUCCGCCACGAGGCCAGCAUCAAGCGCAUCCCGGUCAGCCAGGCGUGCCAUGACCUGAUGAAGUACUGCGAGGAGACGCAGCAGGAGGACGUCCUCGUCACCGGGAUCACGCAGUCCGACAACCCCUUCAAGGAGAACAAAGCGUGCACCAUCUUGUGAUGCAGGCCAAACCGCACUAAAGCGGCGAAGGUGUGAAGGCGAGAACAGAAGAAGAUAUCCUGCUGAUUCAUAUUUCAAAGAACACAAGAAAGAAAAAUAUUCGUCGCCUUCCACUAACUGCUUUUUCUUCUCGGAUUAUCUUAGAUUUAACUUUUGGCUUAUUUUUUUUCUUAUCGGUCAAAGCUUAAUUUGAUUUUUCAUUGUUAUUAAUAUUACGUGACUUGUAUAUCCUUAUUUAUUGACGGUCAUUGUUAGUUUCGUUUUUAUUUUUCUCUUGUGAAUUUGUUUUUAAAAAAUCUGAAAGACACAAAUAAUCCAAGCGGAAGUUAUUGUAAAAGUCAUAGAUAAUUUUAUUAAGGGAAAAUUAAUUCCUUUUUUAUCUCAUAGGAUGAUGUGGGAAGCCUUUCACGUUUGCUUGUUGUUUGUUUCUCUCUCCACUUCGUUCAAAGCUCACUGACAAGGUUGUAUGAUACGCGGAGCUUCUGUGGAGGCCCUGGGCGUGGGUGUGUACGUGGAUUUGUGUGGACGUCGAUCUGUGUGGACGUAAAUUUGUGUGGAUGUGAAUUUGUGUGGACGUAAAUUUGUGUGGACGUUGAUUUGCGUGGACGUGGAUUUGUGUGGACGUGGAUUUGCGUGGACGUGUUUAUGUAUGCGUGCGUAUGCUCAUGCUAUAAGAAUCCCUUUUGUGGGAAGGCCUAUGCAUAAACCCCCCCUCCCCUCUCCCCGUCUCCCUCUCGAAGGCCCCCUCUUGCCCUGGCCUUCUGAAGGAAAAGAUCGAGAUACCCCAUCCCUCCCUCCCUCCCUCUACAGCAAGAGGUCAAUAUUCCUUGCCUCGUUCUGAAGCAAGAGGUCAAAGCCAUCCCUUCUGAAUCAAGAGGUUCAGCCACUUCAGAAGCGAGGUAAAGGAAAAAAUGAAGAAAUAAGUCAAAGUCCCUCUCCCUUCUGACGCAAGCGGUCAAAGGUAACCUCCCUCCUUCACAGGCAAGGUCAAUCCCCCCUUUCCAACGUUCUGCAGCAAGAGGUCAAAGUCCCGCAACUUCAGAAGCGAGGUCAAAAUCCCCUCAGAAGUUCCGAGUUCAAAGUCCCCUUGAAAGAGGUCAAAUCCCGCCCCUCUCCCCUUCAAGCCACAAAGGCCGCACUUGAGAAGCGAGGUCAAGUCCGCAACUUAUAGCGAGGCCAACCCGCACGUUUCAGAGCAGUUACAACAAAUGCCCUCAGGAAUUCCUUCUCUCCUUCUUAUGUCAUCUCCUCUUCUUGUCCUCCUCUCUUUCUGGUUAGAUUUAUCCCCUUCCCUUGCUUCCUUUACCAUUGCUUCUCUCUUUGGCCCUCUGGUUUCAUUCGCGCGCUCCUGAUCUUCUCUCUUUCCUCCUGAUCUCCUUUGUCCUUUUCUCUAUAUUUCCAUCCUUCUUCUCUUUUGGCUUUGCCUCUUUCUUCCUUCCUUUAUCUCCGCUUCGUCUCAUAUUCUCUCGUCCUUUGUCUUCUUCUCGGCUCCAGUCUUCUUUCUUAUUUCAUACAUCUUCUUCUCUUGGGUCGUCUUCCUCCUCUUCGUAUUUGUAUUUCUCUAGUUUUUCUUCCUUCCCCGCUUCGUACCCUUUGCUGUUUUUCCGCGUUUGUCUCUUCUCGUCUUUAUUCCACUUCCUUAUCACGAGUUUCUUUUUCUCUCUUCUCUCUAUCCACACUUGCCUCGUCUCUUUCUUCGUUUUCUGUUUCUCCUUCGCCUCUCUCCCCUCCAUUUUCAUCCCUUCUCUUCUUCUUCUCUUCGCUCUUUUCCCCCUCUUCUGCAUACUUUUCUUUCUUUUGUUCUUUCUCCCUUUGUGUAUAUUUUCGCGUAAAUUUACAAAAUCAAUCGCGGGCGGACCAUAAAAAGUGUUUCCAAAUUUACGUGUUCAUGUAAAUUUUAAAUAUUUUGCGUAUUUGUGUGUGUGUGUGUGUGUGUGUAUGUGUGUGUGUGUGUGUGUGUGUGUGUGUGUGUUGUGUGUGUGUGUGUGUGUGUGUGUGUGUGUGUGUGUGUGUGUUGUGUGUGUGUGUGUGUGUGUGUGUGUGUGUGUGUGUGUGUGUGUGUGUGUGUGUGUGUGUGUGUGUGUGUGUGUGUGUGUGUGUGUGUGUGUGUGUGUGUGUCUGUCUGUGUGUUGUGUGUUGCACCUUUCCUUCCUAAAUUAUUUGUAUAAUUACUAAGAGUUAGCUUAAUGCAGUUUACAAGGUCGCUCUGUUAUGACGUGGAGGAGGAAGACAUGACAGGAGGGAAAAGGGGAGGAAGGAUGAAGAGAAAAUAGAAGAGAAAAGAGAAGAGGAGAGGAGAGGAGAGGAGAGGAGAGGAGAGGAGAGGAGAGGAGAGGAGAGGAGACGAGAGGAGAGAAGAGAAGAGAGGAGAGGAUGAAAAAAUAGAAAGAAAACGAGAGAUUAGUGGAAGAGAGAAGAGGGGAAGUAGGAGAGAAGAAGAUUGGAUUUCCACGCCCUUGUCGAAUUUUAACGAAGGAGGGAAUAAGAGAAGAGAAGCGGAAGAGGAAGAGAAGACGAAAAAAAUAUAUAUACAUAUACUACAGCAGUAAGUUCCGCAAUAAAAUCACGAAAAAUAUAAAAAAGAAAAGAAAAACAGAGCAUUCAGACAAUUAAAUAUUGCAAAGCAAGUGUUGCAAUGGCCAUUACAUACCAUCUGCGCAUUAAAUAAAUUUGUAUAAUGAUAAUGAGAAAUAUAAAGGAUGUGAUGAUGAAAAAGUCAGUGACCGAGGAAUAGCAAUCGUUAUCACAAUAUCUCUUACUUUUCAUAAUGCCAUAAGCGAUUAGGGGUUAGAAGUGCAGUAACAAAUAGAAAAAUAAAGAUGCCACGAGUGUUGCAUUUUAGUUAUGUGAUUAAUAACUGCAUUCAUGUCGGUAACACACAAAAAAAAAACUAUCGAGAAAAGUUAGGUACUGAUUGAUAUAUACAAUAGUAUACAUUAUAUAUUCAAAAAUUAUCAACGGUUCUCGUCUCAGGUUCUGGAAAACGUGUUCUUGCCAAACGAUAUUUUUUUAACACUUUCUCAUGCCACACUUUCUUUAAAUUAUUCGAAUGCCAUGGAUGAAAAUAACAACCAUGAGACUAGCAGGGAAUGUUACGAAAAAAAAGUGAAAAAAAA
Long non-coding RNA from Penaeus monodon (black tiger shrimp), 4129 nucleotides. RefSeq lists it as uncharacterized. Lineage: Eukaryota; Metazoa; Arthropoda; Malacostraca; Decapoda; Penaeidae. The transcript is spliced from 4 exons. The record is from RefSeq and is a predicted model, not a curated record.